Molecule: transfer-messenger RNA, 404 nt
Filed under: Bacteroidaceae
Lineage: Bacteria; Pseudomonadati; Bacteroidota; Bacteroidia; Bacteroidales
Also listed under: 1 other name
Description: UBA4372 sp018064685 Standard tmRNA
Rfam family: transfer-messenger RNA
About the family: Bacterial tmRNA, also known as 10Sa RNA or SsrA, is named for its dual tRNA and mRNA-like properties. Its role is to liberate the mRNA from a stalled ribosome. To accomplish this part of the tmRNA is used as a reading frame that ends in a translation stop signal.
Source: RNAcentral
GGGGCUGACAUGGAUUUGACAGCGGGACGAAGCGUUGUGUAAGCACGCAGAGAGUUGCUGGCCUCUCUCUAUAAUCUCUGACCUGCGAAGAUUUAAUUGGCGAAAACAACUACGCUCUCGCUGCCUAAUCGAAGUACAGUAGAUUACUGGCUUUAUCUCGGCACCAGGUGCUGAGACGAGACAUCGCUCAGAAGCUCUUGUUCCGAAGCGUCUGAUCAAGCGGUGCUGGAAAUUCGGGAAUAGUCACACGAGACGUCUCUAUCGCGUGAUGAAGAUUUAGAGAAUAAGGUACAAGUUGGUGGUCCAGGUCUUGCUUGUACUCGAAAACCAAGACUGGAAUAAGCGUGUAGAAAGCACAGGGUUUCCCUGUUUGGACGAGGGUUCAAUCCCCUCCAGCUCCACUU